Molecule: ribosomal RNA, 381 nt
Filed under: uncultured marine Chaetocerotaceae
Lineage: Eukaryota; Bacillariophyta; Thalassiosirophyceae; Chaetocerotales; Chaetocerotaceae
Description: SSU rRNA
Rfam family: Eukaryotic small subunit ribosomal RNA
Source: RNAcentral
AGCUCCAAUAGCGUAUAUUAAAGUUGCUGCAGUUAAAAAGCUCGUAGUUGCAUUUCCGAGGCAAGGGAUUAGUCCGACCUUUGGUGGGUAUUUAAUCCUCUUGCCUCGUCCUUGAGUGGUGCUUCUUGGUAUUAAGUUAUCGAGGAGAUAGCCGCUCAUCGUUUACUGUGAGAAAAUUAGAGUGUUCAAAGCAGUCUUAUGCCGUUGAAUAUAUUAGCAUGGAAUAAUAAGAUAGGACCUCGGUACUAUUUUGUUGGUUUGAGAACCAAGGUAAUGAUGAAUAGGGACAGUUGGGAGUAUUCGUAUUCAGUUGUCAGAGGUGAAAUUCUUAGAUUUACGGAAGACGAACUACUGCGAAAGCAUUUACCAAGGAUGUUUUCA